GCCUUACACAUGCAAGUCGAACGGCAGCGCGGGAGCAAUCCUGGCGGCGAGUGGCGAACGGGUGAGUAAUACAUCGGAACGUGCCCAAUCGUGGGGGAUAACGCAGCGAAAGCUGUGCUAAUACCGCAUACGAUCUACGGAUGAAAGCAGGGGAUCGCAAGACCUUGCGCGAAUGGAGCGGCCGAUGGCAGAUUAGGUAGUUGGUGAGGUAAAGGCUCACCAAGCCUUCGAUCUGUAGCUGGUCUGAGAGGACGACCAGCCACACUGGGACUGAGACACGGCCCAGACUCCUACGGGAGGCAGCAGUGGGGAAUUUUGGACAAUGGGCGAAAGCCUGAUCCAGCCAUGCCGCGUGCAGGAUGAAGGCCUUCGGGUUGUAAACUGCUUUUGUACGGAACGAAACGGCCUUUUCUAAUAAAGAGGGCUAAUGACGGUACCGUAAGAAUAAGCACCGGCUAACUACGUGCCAGCAGCCGCGGUAAUACGUAGGGUGCAAGCGUUAAUCGGAAUUACUAGGCGUAAAGCGUGCGCAGGCGGUUAUGUAAGACAGUUGUGAAAUCCCCGGGCUCAACCUGGGAACUGCAUCUGUGACUGCAUAGCUAGAGUACGGUAGAGGGGGAUGGAAUUCCGCGUGUAGCAGUGAAAUGCGUAGAUAUGCGGAGGAACACCGAUGGCGAAGGCAAUCCCCUGGACCUGUACUGACGCUCAUGCACGAAAGCGUG
Molecule: ribosomal RNA, 722 nt
Filed under: uncultured Variovorax sp.
Lineage: Bacteria; Pseudomonadati; Pseudomonadota; Betaproteobacteria; Burkholderiales; Comamonadaceae
Description: bacterial SSU rRNA
Rfam family: Bacterial small subunit ribosomal RNA
Source: RNAcentral